UACGGGGAGGAAGGCUUCGGCCAAAAACCUGUGCAUGAGUGGCGGACGGGUGAGUAACGCGUGGGCAACCUGGCCUGUACAGGGGGAUAACACUUAGAAAUAGGUGCUAAUACCGCAUAACGGGGGAAGCCGCAUGGCUUUUCCCUGAAAACUCCGGUGGUACAGGAUGGGCCCGCGUCUGAUUAGCCAGUUGGCAGGGUAACGGCCUACCAAAGCGACGAUCAGUAGCCGGCCUGAGAGGGCGGACGGCCACACUGGGACUGAGACACGGCACAGACUCCUACGGGAGGCAGCAGUGGGGGAUAUUGCACAAUGGGGGGAACCCUGAUGCAGCGACGCCGCGUGGGUGAAGAAGCGCCUCGGCGCGUAAAGCCCUGUCGGCAGGGAAGAAAAUGACGGUACCUGAAGAAGAAGCCCCGGCUAACUACGUGCCAGCAGCCGCGGUAAUACGUAGGGGGCAAGCGUUAUCCGGAUUUACUGGGUGUAAAGGGGGCGCAGACGGCGAUGCAAGCCAGGAGUGAAAGCCCGGGGCCCAACCCCGGGACUGCUCUUGGAACUGCGUGGCUGGAGUGCAGGAGGGGCAGGCGGAAUUCCUGGUGUAGCGGUGAAAUGCGUAGAUAUCAAGAGGAACACCGGUGGCGAAGGCGGCCUGCUGGACUGCAACUGACGUUGAGGCCCGAAAGCGUGGGGAGCAAACAGGAUUAGAUACCCUGGUAGUCCACGCCGUAAA
Molecule: ribosomal RNA, 730 nt
Filed under: uncultured bacterium
Lineage: Bacteria
Description: bacterial SSU rRNA
Rfam family: Bacterial small subunit ribosomal RNA
Source: RNAcentral